AGGGGGGUCUGCAACUCCCCAGUUGACAACAGCGCCAGAAAUCCACUACAGAAGAAAGCUAUCAGCCAAGCCAGUGGCAGAGCAUUACACCCGGCAUGGAGAUGUACUGUUUUGACGAUGGCUGAAAAAGGUGAACGCUGUAGCAGCAAAGUGUGGGACUACUUCUGCAAAGAUUCCUCUAAUGCAGUAU
Molecule: long non-coding RNA, 190 nt
Organism: Sander lucioperca (pikeperch)
Lineage: Eukaryota; Metazoa; Chordata; Actinopteri; Perciformes; Percidae
Exons: 4
Source: RefSeq, a predicted model, not a curated record